GCCGGAGUGGCGGAAUUGGUAGACGCGGCGGAUUCAAAAUCCGCUUCCUUCGGGAGUGGGGGUUCGAUUCCCCCCCUGGGUACCA
Molecule: transfer RNA, 85 nt
Filed under: Opitutia bacterium
Lineage: Bacteria; Pseudomonadati; Verrucomicrobiota; Opitutia
Description: tRNA-Leu
Rfam family: tRNA
About the family: Transfer RNA (tRNA) molecules are approximately 80 nucleotides in length. Their secondary structure includes four short double-helical elements and three loops (D, anti-codon, and T loops).
Source: RNAcentral